This is a long non-coding RNA of Bos taurus (domestic cattle), 1170 nucleotides long. Lineage: Eukaryota; Metazoa; Chordata; Mammalia; Artiodactyla; Bovidae. The record is from Ensembl.
AGGACACGUGGUCGCGCGGGUCGCUGCGCGGGAAGAUUGGAGGCGGCAGAGCUUGCGUCCAGAUGGAGUCUAUCGCCUGCAUAGCUGCUGCUGCAGCUGCUGCUGCUGAGUCGUUUCAGUCGUGUCCAACUCUGUGCGACCCCAUAGACGGCCUCCCACCAGGCUCCCCUGUCCCUGGGAUUCUCCAGGCAAGAACACUGGAGUGGGUUGCCAUUUCCUUCUCCAAUGCAUGAAAGUGGAAAGUGAAAGUAAAGUCGCUCAGUUGUGUCCGACUCUUAGUGACUCCAUGGACCUCAGCCUACCAGGCUCCUCCGUCCAUGGGAUUUUCCAGGCAAGAGUAUUGGAGUGGGGUGCCAUUGUUGCUGCAGCCUGAAUUGCUAGGCAAACCUUCUCACACACCAGCGACUACUCACCACUGCACACCUUCCCCUGCACGCCUUCACCUGCCGGCUGGAACGCUCACUCUUUACCCUGGAAGGUGAGGCUGGUGCUAAUCUGCUUCCCGCCUGCACUAACCUGUCCCUCUGUCCUCCACCAGGGCUUCCCUGGAGGCUCAGACGGUAAAGAAUCUGCCUGCAAUGUUGGAGACAUGGGUUCGAUCCCCGGGUUGGGAAGAUCCCCUGGAGGAGGGCAUAGCAACCCACUCCAGUCGUCUUGCCUGGAGAAUCCUGUGGACAGAGGAGCCUGGCGGGCUACAGUCUGUGGGGUCUCAAAGAGUCAGACAUGACUUAGCAACUAAGCAUGGCACAGCACACCCUCCAAAGAGCCCUUCCUGCUAACCAGGCAAAAUGUGUUCUCAAGCCCUGCAGUCUUUUCCUCGAUCCUGGAAUGCCCUGCCUGCAAGUUUCAAGGUUACACUGAGAUGGAAUCCCCCCUGUGAAUGCUUCCUGGAUGUCACCUUCCAUCCAGGUGACUUGUCACAUCCAAGAUCAGGAGCAGCUGCAUCAGACAACUCGGAAGAGAAUGCAUUCCUGAAGGGAAUGAACAUGGUAGGGAGGUUUGGAUAACGGUACCAAAAAAUAAAUGCCAUCAAGACUGCGUGAACUUUGAGUCACUGUAGUCUGAGAUGCCCUUUCCUGGAGCAAAGAAGUGACGGGCCUGUCUUGUGCAUGCAUGCAUGCUCAGUCGCUUCAGUCGUGUCUGACUCUUUGCAACCCCAUGGACUAUAGC